Molecule: transfer RNA, 69 nt
Filed under: Ceratobaeus sp. MM-2013
Lineage: Eukaryota; Metazoa; Arthropoda; Insecta; Hymenoptera; Scelionidae
Description: tRNA-Asp
Source: RNAcentral
UUAGAAUUAGUUAAAAAUCUUAUAACAUUAAUUUGUCAAAUUAAAAUUAUUUAAAUUAAAUAAUCUCAU